This is an RNA transcript of Mercenaria mercenaria, 3657 nucleotides long. RefSeq lists it as uncharacterized. The record is from RefSeq and is a predicted model, not a curated record. The transcript is spliced from 2 exons. Lineage: Eukaryota; Metazoa; Mollusca; Bivalvia; Venerida; Veneridae.
AUAACAAAGUUUACUUCAUUCGUUGCAGUAGAGAUUUCCAUAUGUUAUUUUUGCACUACCAGGAAGUAAGUUUUUACUAAUACCUUUUUCAAGUAUCCUAAUAUUUGCAUGGGUGAAUCAGACAACCAACACUGUAAGAUAUUUAUUAAAGAAACUUCUAUUUUUCAUGUUAUAAAAGCUUAUUUGCUAAUAGGUAGGCAUAUUCUGUAUAAUGUCUGUAAAUAUAUUUCAGGUGAUUCUAAAGAAUUCCUUGACGAAGAAUGUGUUUCGGCCGAAUGUAAUAUUUCAUUUCAUGGCACAACUGAGUGUUACUCAGAAGUAAACGAUGUUCUACCAUCUAACAGAGAAUUAACAUAGAAAACCAUAAGUUUGAGAGACGGUCCGAAACAUUUUCUGACAUUUAUGAUAUGAUUUUUAGCAAGUUAUGGACACAGCAGAAGAUAUACUAGUAGUUGAUGUCUUGGCAUCUUACUGUAGACAUGUCUAUAUUUUAAAGUUGUACUACCGAAGGAGUUCGGUUCUAACUAUUUUCUUACACAUAAUUCUGAAUUUGCAUGAUUGCAUCUGGCAACCAACACAUUAAACAGAUAUGCUGUCACCAAAUUUGGAAAAAAAUGCUUUCAGCGGCAUCUGAAUGUGAACGCUUUUUAAAUGUCAAUUUUGUACAUUUAUAGUCAACAAUACCUACUGGAAGCUCCUAUUUUCUCUUUGAAACAUUUUCUAUACAAAUAGACUGGAAAGGUGUAUGGAAUGGAUUUUUUGUAAAUACAUUUCAGGUAGUCCUGAGCAAACCCCUGAUAAAACAUGUCUUUGGGCUUAUGAUACAAAUGUGGAACACUUAUUACAUCAAAAUGUUCUACCAUCCAACAGAGAACUCCACAUAGCAUGUCGCAAUCUCGGAAGACGGUCUCAAACACUUUCUAAUAUUUGUGGUAUGAUUUGUAAGCAAGUCAUGGAUACAGAAGAAGAUAUAAUUGAUGUCUGGGCAUCUUAUUGUAUAGAGGAUCGUCAUUCCGAUGACACAGUGUCUAUUGUUUUCGUUGUUAUUAGGAAGGAUACAUCGAAAAACAUUCAUCUAAAAGAUUAUAAAUAUCAUUUGAUUUCUCAAAACACAUGUAGCAGUGAAAGCGAAAUCCUACUUACUAGGGAGUUAUCAGAUGAAACACUUGAUAUAUUCAGUAAACGUGAUACACUUGAAAAGAUGAGAAAAUGUAUAGCCCGCCAUGCUGAUGAUCUUCUUGAAAGGCAUAGUAAUAUUAACGUUAUUUUACCAAGUUUAAAGAAGUCGAAGGGAUAUUAUUCAGCCAAUCAUAGCAUUAUCGACGAACCAUGCAUUGCACUCUAUGUUCCUGUAAAAGGAUAUAUACCAAUAAAUGAGGAACCAUUUCCACAAGAACUUGAUGGAUUUAAAAUAGAUGUGCUGGAAGGUAAGUUCGAAACAUAUAACGGAGGACCGAACGAGUUCCACAAACGCCUGAAGAUGGGACUGGCUAUCCAUGCAAACAUUUUUGAUGGUAGUAAUUUAUUUGGUGGUACUCUUGGAGGAUUCAUCAACCAUCCCAUGUACAAGAUGUGUGGGAUCACAUGUGCUCACGUCGUUUGUUCCAGUGAAGAAAUGAACAUUAUCAAGUAUUGUGGUAUCAAAGAUGGUUUGGGUAAACCAGUGUUUCAGCCAAUGAAUGACAAAUCAACAGUGGUAAUAGUGGUAGAGUGGUAAUGGCCGUUUACAAGUCCGGUGAUGAAUCGUCAUCGGGGAUGGAAGCAGCCCUUUUUCGCAUAGAAGAAAGACAUCCAGAAGACGGCAGUUUCCCGAUGGCUUUCAAUGAAAUACAAGCAGGUUUUGAUGAAAACAGACCGCUAACUUACAAUUCGGGAGUUGUCUGUGAAGCAUCGUCCAUUAGCCCGAGAACGGAAGUGUUCAAAUACGGUAUUGCGACUGGUAUCACUAGAGGGAGCUUUGCUUUACAAGGUGCAGUUGUUCGCAAAGAAAGAAUGGAAGGAAAUAAACAUAGUUUCGGAUAUAGUCUAAAAAAUCAGUUAGUAGUUCUGCAAAUAGGAUCGGAGCCUUUUGCAAAACCCGGAGACUCGGGGGCUUUGGUGCUGAUAGAAGACGCCCAUCAUGAUUCUGUUGCUAUCGGCAUUGUUGAAGGUGGUAUUAAAGGCAGAGUGUUUGUGACGCCUAUCUGUGAUAUUUUAAGAGCUUUCGGUUGUUCAGACUUAAAGAUGUACAAUUUCAAAAACUUGAAAAAUGGUUCCCCGUCAGCUGACUCUGGGGUAGAUGUUGAUGAUUACGAAGCGAUGGAUGUCAAUAACAUGUAAAAUCUGAAGAAACUACAGACUUAACAACAACAACAACAACAUUACCUUUAUUAAACUCAAAUCACAAAGUGACACAAGAGUAUACAGUAAAACAUUACAUAUCUGAAAAAUGUGACAUGGUGUAGAAGCUACAAAAAAAAAAAAAAAAGAAGACAAAAUUUACAUUGACUUGAGAUAUAAGAUACAAUAUAUUAUAGAAAAAUAAAAAAAAAUGAAAAACUGAAAAAGUACUAAAAAGCGGAUUUCAUUCAAGGAAAUGAAAUGAGGGGGAAUGAAUACUUUGACCUAUUUUUUUUUUAAACAUAUUUGAUGCACACGCGAUCUAGAGAAACAGACUAUAAUUUUGGAUUUCCAAACAAUUCUAUUUAAAUAAUCUAUUUUGAUUGGUCGUUAUGUCACGCGCUGUGUCAAUUAAAACUGUGUCAGUUGUGUAUGAAACCCAGAUACGGGUCAAAAGCGUGCAAUUUAUUCAUAGACAAGGAAUUUUCGUUUAAGUAAAUUCAAAAGGAAUUAAAAAGUGUUUUUAAAUCUAUAUGACGCGGUGUGAAAGUGUAUGUUCGUAUUGAUUAACAUUGGAAUAAAUUUUGCAUCUCUCAACAUGCUCAGUAUGUGGUCAAAACAGAAAAAUCAAGGCAUGAUGUAACAGUACAAUUCAUGACCUGUGAGUACAUACUUUAGAAAUUUUGUUACACAUUAUUAUUUUUCAUUACAAAGCAGAGCAGAAUCUAACAUAGGGUUACUGUAUGCUUAUUAUGAAAACCUACACUUAUUACAAGACUUUUCAUACCUUAUAUAAAUAUAAAAUAAACUUUUUAAUGGGGAAUCAGAACAGAAUUUCUUGUAUAGUGUACAUUCAAAGCUCAUAUAGAUCUCAUGCUUCUAUGAGAUAGUAACACAGUUCAAAACAAAAACAAACAAACAAACAAAAAUAUACAAAAAAAAAAAAAAAAAAAAAAAAAAAAAAAAAAGGAAGUUGUACAGGUAAAUACAAUGCGGUAUGGAAUGUUUUUUCAUAUAUCUUAUAGAUUAUUUUUAUUUUAAAUAUUUUCACUAUUUAUUCAUUCGGUUGCGGCAGAUUAUAUAUAAUAAUUGUGUGUACAAAUUUUAUCGUUUAAGUGUCUGAAAUAGAAUUUUUAUGAACUUACAGAGGUUUUUUAAUUCCUUUAUUGACCUGGAUGUAAGCAGUUCUUUAUAUUUCAGUAUAUUUGUUCUAGUAUAAUAAUAUCUUUUAAUAAGCAGUUUUCUUUGUUCAUGGAAAAACUGGCAUUUUAGUAGAUAAUGAAACUCAUCCGCCACAUCUCUACUUAAACACAGUGGACAUGUUCUUUGAUUAAUAUC